GUGGGGAAUCUUGCGCAAUGGGCGAAAGCCUGACGCAGCCAUGCCGCGUGAAUGAUGAAGGUCUUAGGAUUGUAAAAUUCUUUCACCGGGGACGAUAAUGACGGUACCCGGAGAAGAAGCCCCGGCUAACUUCGUGCCAGCAGCCGCGGUAAUACGAAGGGGGCUAGCGUUGCUCGGAAUUACUGGGCGUAAAGGGCGCGUAGGCGGACAGCUUAGUCAGAGGUGAAAGCCCAGGGCUCAACCUUGGAAUUGCCUUUGAUACUGGCUGUCUUGAGUUUGGGAGAGGUGAGUGGAACUCCGAGUGUAGAGGUGAAAUUCGUAGAUAUUCGGAAGAACACCAGUGGCGAAGGCGACUCACUGGCCCAAUACUGACGCUGAGGCGCGAAAGCGUGGGGAGCAAACAGGAUUAGAAACCCCUGUAGUCC
This 425-nucleotide ribosomal RNA is filed under the name uncultured bacterium. RNAcentral's name for it is "partial 16S ribosomal RNA". It matches the Rfam family "Bacterial small subunit ribosomal RNA", at positions 354 to 796 of the family's 1533-position model. The record is from RNAcentral.